Molecule: non-coding RNA, 994 nt
Organism: Sturnus vulgaris (Common starling)
Lineage: Eukaryota; Metazoa; Chordata; Aves; Passeriformes; Sturnidae
Source: RefSeq, a predicted model, not a curated record
AUGCCAGUCCCUAAGGCCUGGAUCUAAUUUUGAUUGCUCUUUUUCCUUUUUCUGAGACAAGUUAGAAUUUAUAAAGAUAUGUUUUGAUGAUGCAUUAUUUUGUGAUACUGUAGUUAGAAAGGAAUAUCGAUUCUCCUGGAAGACUCAUAAUAUUCUUUGUUGCAAACAGUAAGUGAUGAUGUAGCCUGUUGGAACUUCAGGUAUUCCUUGAUUAGACUAGGAACUAAAAAUUUGAAAGUAAUACUUCUGGAAGGUGAGGAGGAAACCCUUGUAGAGCAAAUUUUCUCAUUGCACAGGAACUAUUGAGAAAAAGACUUAAAAUUUUAAUUUCUUCCACAAUGACCACUUCUGUAACGAUGCUGUAAUGCGGGGUUUUUUUUUGUAUUCUCCAUUUCUUGAGAACCACAGGACUUAACCUGUAGCAAGGAUAUAGCUCCAUUGUCCUGUGUGCUUUAUCACCUUUUCCCUGGGCAAUCGGGGGCCAGUCAGACCAAGGGGAUUUACUCCUGUAGUUACCACAGGCUGACUGGGGGCAGCUUCUGUGUUUCUCAUGCUUGUCACUUCGGCAAACCCUCUGCCAGGUGAUUUGUACAACAGUUCAGCAGAGGAGUUUCCAGUUCUUUUUGAGGGCUAACGGUGAAAUAACACUGUGCAAAAAUGUGUGUAUGUAGGAUGGUGACAAAGAGUGACAAGUUUUCGACCUUUUCAGUCAAAAAGGGGAAAAAACCCACUGUCAUAAGGCUUGAAGGCUUGAGUCAAAAGGCUUUGUGAGAUGUCAUUAGAGUUAAGUGCUGUUCAUUUUUGAGUUUUCUUUUUUGUGCUUGAAAUUUUUGAAGUUGGUCGAGGAAACAGUCUUUCGGUUUGACCUAAUAAGAAUGCUGUGGUCAUGCCAAUAAAAAGUGAACAAUAGCAAUUUGUUGAAAAAGUAGGUUAGUUUUAAUUGUAUUCUCUCUUGGUAUUGCCAUCAAGAGUUGAUCUUUCUGAGCUCAGCUAU